This 208-nucleotide ribosomal RNA is filed under the name uncultured bacterium. Its description in RNAcentral is "partial 16S ribosomal RNA". It matches the Rfam family "Bacterial small subunit ribosomal RNA", at positions 568 to 774 of the family's 1533-position model. The record is from RNAcentral.
UGCGUAGGCGGCGCAGCAAGUCGGGUGUGAAAUCCCCCAGCUCAACUGGGGAAUUGCGCCCGAAACUGCUGUGCUAGAGGAAUAUAGAGGUGAGCGGAACUUAGGGUGGAGCGGUGAAAUGCGUUGAUAUCCUAAGGAACACCGGUGGCGAAAGCGGCUCACUGGGUAUUCUCUGACGCUGAGGCACGAAAGGCUAGGGGAGGCAACG